UUUUUUUUUUGUGAUUUUUUUGACUCUAAUUUCCUUGACACUCUUUUCUUCCUUCUUGGACAUAUUUUUCUCUCUUUUUUUUUCUUUGAAAAUUUUUUACUCUAUUCUCUUGCUCGAUACUUUUAUUUUGAGCUUUGCUAGCUUUAUCUUGAUUCCAAAAGAGGGGUAUAAAAGAAAAUAACACUAAGGAUCAAAUGAGGUAAACAAAGGAUAACACAAUGAGUUUGGAUAGCAGAAUAAAAUACCUUCAUCAUAUCAAUCCUUGAAAAUAUUAGUACAUAGCAUACAAUGUGAAAGUGCACGAUCAACAUCAUUUAUGACAUAUUUUACAACACUAACUUGCCCCGAACAUGUGUGUCACCUCUUUUUCUAUACUUUUCAAACAUUCAACUCCACCUUUGUUAUAUAUCCAUCACAUUGAAUGACUCAUGCUUUCGUGGAGUUGAUUUUCUUUCUAUUCCUCUUGAUAGGAUCACGCAGACACAGUUUGACCUAAUUAAGACAUGUUUUUCAAUUGAUGACCAAGUUAUUCUUGUGAUUCUAAAAAUAAUUGCAAUAAUUUUCAAAGAAGGUUUGAACUUGUCACCAAAUGUCUCAGCACUCUACCUAUUUUCUCAGAUUCUCUCUUUUCUAACUUUAACCCUCUGAUUCAAUGUUCAUACUUAAACUAGAUUUUAAGAUCUGACUGAAAAUUCCGCAGGCAUGUCAUAUCACUAGAAUCAACAUAAAAUGUACUAUAUAAAGAAAACAAACAAACAACACAUAUUUGAAACAUAAAAGUAAAGGGACACUUCAUUUAGUAAAAAUAAAAGAUAAAGGGGUUUAAACAUAAACAAAAAAGGGACAAAACAAGAUAGAUCCUGAACUACAACCCUGAAAUACUUUAGAAAAUAGAAAAAAAAACAAAACAAACUACCACACCUUUUCCCAGUAGGGAGAGAGGUGACUUCUCAAUUGCUCAGCCUGACAACUUAGCCACUAGUUUGUAUAUCAACAUGACUAGAGUUUCCCUCAGUGUCAAUGUUCUGCACUAUAAUCGAUCCAUCUUGAAUCAUAUUUUCAAUUUCUCUUUUCAAAUCUCGAUAAUAUUCAAUACUAUGACCCUGAGCAUCAGAAUGAUAUGCAUAUUGUACAUUAGGGUCAAAAUUUUGUGAACGCUGAUUAAGAGUGCACCCAAAGAAAGAAGUGAUCAUACCCCAUUGUACCAAUCUCUGAGAUGACUCUGAGGAGUUGGUGUGUUCCACUGUGGGUAAUAUGGGGGUUGAAUAUGUGGCUGUGCAUUAUAUACUGAAUAUGGAGGGGGAGGAGUAGAGUAUAAUGGAUUUUGGGAGUGAUUAUGUGAAUCUUGGGCAUGAACUUGGGUUUGUACCUAAGAGUGAUGACGAUAGGGUCUUCUUAACCAUGCCCGCUGUCCAACUACAAUAGAAGAUGCAUCUUUCUCAUUCUUUGUCUCCCCAAUAAUUCCUGAACCCUUUUGAAUUGCUUGAGUUGUCAUUUUCAAUGUUCCAAAACUCAUAACGUGACCAGUCUUAAUUCCCUCUUCUAUUAUCUCCCCCAUUUUAAGGACCUCAAUAAAUGAUUUGCCUAAUACUGGUAACAAGUGUUGAUAAUAUGUUUCAUCCUGCGCUUGAAUAAACACCUCCACUAUUUUUUCUUUCAUUGGCGAUUUUCCUCUAGCAUCUUAUUCGCGCCAUUUGAUCGCAAAAUCCCUGAAACUCUUAGUAUUCUUUUUUAUACUAGUUAGGGAUUUUUCGUCAGGGAUCAACUCCACAUUGUAUUGAAAUUGUUGCACAAAUUCAUUAGCUAGGUCAUCCCAGCUAAUCCACUUGUCAAUGUCUUGGUUAAAAAACUAUUUCGAAGCUAGGCCUGAAAGACUCUCCCCGAAAUAAGCCAUGAGUAGUUCUUCCUUCCCUACAACGCCUCCUAAUUGGUUACAAUAGCACCUCAAAUAUGCCACUGGGUCCCCAUGUCCAUCAUAUUUCUCAAACUUUGGUAUUUUAAAGCCAGGGAGAAGGUUGACACCUGGAAACAUGCAUAAGUCUUUAUAUGAGAUACUUUUGUAACCCCCAAGUCCUUGCAAGUUCUUCAUAGAUAGUUCUAAACUUCUCAAUUUUCUGAUCAUUUUCUCUUGUUCUUCUGUCAUAACAAGCUUCUCAGUGUUAGGAGGAAAUUCAAGCAGGUGAGUGUCAACGUAAAGAUCAAUCAACUUGAAUGUAGGCUUAGAAGUGUAACGCUGAUCACCGGUAAUAUUUAAUACAGGCUCUCUUGUAGAGUAGGGAGGAACAAAUUGUGGAUGAACAUCAAAAGUAGAAGCUUCAGAUAGGGGUGGCGCUGGAAAAGAAUGAACAACAGGUGGAGCCAAGUAUGUGGUAGUCUUAGAUUUGGGAGUGAGGAAAUGAACAUUGGAUGUGGUUGGAUAUUGUUGCCCCAGAGUCGAUCCUGAUACAUGUUGUGGCAUAUCAACAAAAAUAGAAAAUUGUGCAUGUGACACAGAAGGCAAGUUAGAAAGAUAUUCCAGAUUAUCAGUGGAAACUGGGGAAGUCGGCAACCUAUUAUCCCAAGCUCGAUGCAUUUCUAUCAUUUGCUGCCUUAAUUUUUGAAUUUCUUCAUUGGCUCUUAAAUUCUCAUUUCCCGAACUCCCUAUCUGAUUAGUGACAACAAAAUCGGUAUCCUUGUUGGCCAUAAAUUUCUCUAUGACUUGGUACACUAUGAAGGACUAGCCCAAAGGCCACAAACCAACCACCUUAACUAACUGAACAAGAGAUAGCAAAUGUGUUAGAGUUCAACCAUUUUUCAAAACUUUUUCUGAUUUUCUUUUGAAAAGAUCACCGAACCCAAGAAGGGCGACUACGUAUCUCACUCCAGAGAGAAGAGAAUUAGGUGUGCGUAGUUCGUGAAGUUUUGCCAAAAUGGCCAACCAAGCUCUUUUUCCUUUCUUUUCUUCUUUUUCUUGAAACUUUAAAAAGAAAAGGAAAUAACAAAUUGUCAAAAGAAUUGACAAAAAUCUUUCUGCAUUUUUCUCGUUUAAAAUUCCUAUACAAAAUGAAACCUAUGAUUACCAAAGAAAAAUCUUUUUGUGUUUUCAAUUUUGAAUUUCAUAUGAAAAUGAAACUUGAACCUAUUAAAGAAAAAUCUUUUUGUAAUUUUCUUUUAAAAAUGUAUAUGAAAGACUUACUCUAAAUAAAGAGUGAAGAAAAUUUUUUUGGAUUUUUUUGAAAUAAGAUCCCCGAACCCACAAUAGGCUGCCUAUAUAUCUCACUCCCGAGAGAGGAGAAUCAGGGGUGCAUAAUUCGUCCAGAUUGGACAAUUAAGGAUUAGGUAACAAACUAAAUCUUAACUUGAGUGACACGAUUACAGAUAGACGAUGAAAGUAAAAUAUUUUUUUGAUUUUUUAAUUUGACACUUCAUACAAAAAUGACACCAACAACUAUGAAAGAAAAAUCUUUUUUUUUAAUAUUUUUGAUAUGAAAUAUACAAAAAUUCUACCAUUUUUCAUUUUCUUUUAUAAAAAAUACUAAAAAAUCUUUUUUGAAAAUUUCGAAUUAUGAAUGCAUGCUAAAGGAGACAAAGCGAGAAAUCUUUUUAAUGUUUUGGUUUUUGAACAAAUGAGUGCUGAAAAUAAAGAAAUCUUUUUGAAUUUUUGAAUUGUGAAAAACAAAAGUCAUAAAGAACACUAAAAGCUAUGUAACUCUUUUUUUUCAAAUGGUUUCUUGUCUACAUACUUUACUUUUAACACAUGUUUUUCCCAAAUCAGUCUAUUAAAUGACCAUGUUACACUCAAAGAUGCAACAUUUAGCACGUAGGGAUGCUUUAGAGGUGAGUCUCCUACAAAGAGCCAAGUGGGCCCCGCUAGGUCUUUAAUAUGAUGCACAUAAGCAUGAACCAAAGGCUGACCUACAUUGGGGUUCACUAACAAGGCUGUUCGGGGGAGCGUAUGGUCGAUAGUGACUGUUUUGCUUUCCACCUACUCCAUAACACCGACGGAUCCCCCCUAAAAUAAGGGUGACUCAACUAUAGGUCAUGUACAACACGUGUACUGUGGACUUAUUGCAGAAAGAAUGACUUAGGUUAUGCACAUGAUGUCGGAUAUAAAGCGGUAACACAUAAGAUAAAAACUGUAAACAAAGAGCACAUAGGCACUCAACAGUAAUAAUACAAUAAUACAAAAUAACACAAAUAAAAUGUCCAUACACCUAUAGUGAAAAACUAAGCCGAUACAACUUCAAAAUAAGCUCGAAUUCUAAAAUAGUCCCCAGCAGAGUCAUCAGAGCUAUCCUAUUCUAAACUAAUCCUAGACUAAUGCUCUAUCCGACGCUUUGGGCCUUCAUCACAAACGUUCUCCAGGUAAAAAAUACUUUGUGUCAUUCCCCAGUGAAUAAACACAAAUAUCUCGGGGCAUUACCCGGCCAAAUGAUACUUUGAUCCAAAAAAACCAUAAAAACAAGUCAUUCAACACACAAUUUUCAACAUUCAAAUUCGACAAGUUCUAAAUUUGCCUACCCGACCCUACUAUUUGCCUAUUUAUUUCAAUAUGCCAUAAUUCUAUCACGUUCCAAUGACAUUCAUGCUUAUUUAAACGAAACAAUAGUAAACCAAAAGAAAUCUAAAUUCACAUUUUUAUCAAUUUCUCAAUCCCACCCCCAAAUUCAUUCUCAACCCUAAUUUUGGUAUCCAAUUACCAAUUUCAAUUAUUCAACCAGAUAUUAUUUUCAUCCAAUUUGUGCCAUUCAAAGUCAAUCAUUCAAUACAACAUAUAUCAAGCAACAAAUCACCCGAUAGAACAAACACAUCAAAACACCUUCAUAAUCAUAUAAAAAUAAAAUAAUAGAGAUGAAGAGUGGACCUCAAAAGCUUUUUUGAUUCAAAUAUUAUUUGGAUGAAAAGAAUAAAUUUGUAUUCCAAAUCCGCGAAUUAAACCUCAACCAAAGAGCAGAACCUCAACAACACCAAACUCGACCCCAAAUCUCGCAACUCUAGACGUUGACAAGCAAAAUUCAAUCGGCAAAGACCGAGAUGAAGAGAUGGGAUUUUGAUCCUAAAAAUAAAAGAAACAGGGGGCUAGGCUCGAUUAAUUGGCUAUGUUGUUGCUAUUUUGACAUUUUCGGAUGGGAUGGGACUGGCAGCUUCACGAAAGUCGAAGUAAACUAUCAAUUUGGCCAACUUGCUAGCUGAACUGAAGUUUUCAGGCAGAAUUUCACUAGAGAACAUCUUUUCUGAUUCACCCCUUGUUUCUCUCUCUUUCCCCCUCUCUAAUAACUAGUGUGCAUAUGAAUUUCAAUCAACUAUGUGUGGGAUUCUCUUCUUUUCAGUGAGUGUCUUCAAUGUGUAUUGUGAAUAGAUGGGAAUCGGGUGCUUAUGAAGAAAAAAGUGGUUUGUGCUUAUUGUGUUUGGUGUAUUCUGUGAGUAGUUAUGAAGGAUAGAAGAUUAUUUUGGUGAGGUUUUUCCACCUCUGGUUCGUAUUACGUAUUGCUAUAUAUAGAGGUCCCUUUUUGGAUCCUUUCCAGGAAGGUUCCUAGUGGGGGCCUUGUGGAAUUGUCCCUUUUUUUACCUUUUUUUUAUCAUAGUGUGGUGAAUAUGCUCUCUUUCUUUGUUGAAAAAAAAUGUGAAGGGGUUAAUGGAGUAAGAUGUAGGGUAUGUGGGGUAGAGUAAGUUAGUUAGGAUAAAAUUUGUUAGGAUGAUUAAAACAAGAUAAAAUUUGUUAGGGAGUUUGUUAUUUUUGUUUUUUUAUGGGAAAUUAUGGAAUGGAGUUGGAGUGCGUGGUAAGAUUAGUAAAAUGAAUAAAAUUUGACUUCAGAAGGAACAAAAUUAGGUGUCUACAAAUAAUACUAUGUGUUGGGGAUUUCAUGAAGCACAUAGUUAUCAUAAUUUUGUACAUGGAUAGGAAUGCAUAUAAUCAUGUCAUAAGUUCAUACUAUAAUAUCAUGAGCAUUCCAAAAAACAUCUACAAUGCACAAUAAUCAGACGGUAAUUGGGAUUCAUACUUGAACUGAAUGUUGGUUCUGACAACUAAGGUUUAGACUGGUAUGAAGUACUGAAUUUUGAUAGCUAAGUAACUGAUAAUUGAAAGCCAUGGUCUUGUAGGACUUUGAGUCCUUUACUGAAUAUCGAUUACUGAACUAAUGUUGUAACUUAGGCUUGAGGAAUGAAACAUCGACACCACGGAUUCAUCGAGGGAUCUAUGCUGAAGGUUUUGUGACAUGAUCUGAGUUUUGUUGAUCACUAAGAGUGGAUGAUGAGCUACGUAAGCUGGGUAAUCUAUACAACAUGACAUAAGUGUAUGAGUCAUGAGCUACAUGACCUGAGUCAGAAGUUUCUGUACUCAUAGAACAGGUUUUGAAAUCACAGAGUAAACUAGAACUCUUCAUACUAGGAAUUGGAAACACAUAUAAUUCUAUGGAAGGUGUGUGAAUGUAAGUUGUGUUCAUGGAACAUGAUUCAUAUUGUGGAGUAAACUCAGACUCCUUAUACUGGGAGAUGAAAUCCUACAUGAUUUUCACUAACGUGCACAAAUAUAUGCGAUGAUCAUGGAGCUGACAUGUAGGACAUGAAUAGAUAUCAUGGUAACUGGUGGGUUGUAAGGGUUGUUAGGAAAUAAGCUGACCUCUGAACGCUGAAGUACUACCCCUAUACUCUAGGAUGGGUUCAUUCAAAAACUGAAAUUGAACAAUUCUAUUUCUGCAGUCGACUGUGGCAUAGCAGAAAUGAAGCCAAUCUAUGCUGAGAAUGACAUCAAAAUCAGUUGUCUCUAAUUCAACUAAGUCUGCUGAAGUGACUUUCUGAUAUACCAUAAUCAGGCAGUUACUGUAUACCCACCGGGCUAUGAUGGUUUUACCCAGUAGGGUAGAUACAGAGAAUGGCUUUACUAGAAUUUAGGGACUGACUCCGAAAUCGGCUACUAUAUAAGGAGUAACAAAAUUCAAGGAAGCUCCUGGAUCUAGCAAAGCAUAAACAUGUGAGUGAAAGAUCUGUAACAUACCAAUGAUAACAUCAAUAGAAUUUUCCUGAUUAUGUCAGGACUGAAAAGCAGAUUGUCUGUCUGGGCGUUGACCACUGGUAGCACUGGAGGUGGCACCCUGCUGAUUUGGGUGACUGGACUGAACUGAAGGAUGGUUAUGUGGACUUCAAGGACCAAGCUUGGGACAGUCUCAGACUUUGUGACCCGACUUUCCAUAUACAAAAUACAUACCACUGCCGAUUUUACACAUAACCUUAUGGUUCUUUCCACAAGUCUGACAAAGGCGAUUGGUUCGAGCACUAUUAACACUGUCCUAAGGUCUAGGGCCUAAUGCUCUAUCUCUAAUGCCAUCUCUAAAUUUUGGCACUUGAGCAUUGGCUGAAGAAAGGGAUAGGACUAAAGAUUUUGGGCGGAACCAAAAACGAUAACCACCCUCUGACGUAGGCUGAUUAAAACUGAAGCUACCUGUAUAGCUCUCUUAUUUUCCCUCCUUCUUCUUUUCUUUCUGUAUUUCCCCACCUCAAUUUGUUAGGCAUGAAUCAUAUGCCUGUCAAUCAUAUGUAAUUGUAUUGUAUUAUUCUUUGAAUAUACUCUUCCGUUUCAUAUUAGUUGACCCAUAUUGACUUGACACACCUAUUAAGAAAAUAUUAAUUAGAAAUUUAUUUUAUCAAAUUAGCCUUAUUAAUUAUGAUUUAAAAAUAUAAAUUUGAAUAAAUACACUUUGUUUACUUAUUUAAUGUUAAGGGUAGUAUUGGAUCAAGAAAUACAAGAACUUAUUGAAAACGAAAAAAAAAAUAAUAAUAAUAAUUCCUAUUUCUACACAUACACGGUUUCCCCCUGCCAACAUGAAAUAGCUUUUCAAAUAUCUAUAUAUAUAAUACUUUCCCCGCCUCUAUUUUCUCCAUCUUAAACCCUUCUUCACCUUUCUUCUCUCUAGGGUUUUGUUGAUCCGUCUUCCUAUUAUGGCUAUCGAUAUCCUCAACAAGCGGCGCCAACUCACUGACGGGUCGGAAUUUGACGUCACUCAACGGCGGCGACUCAUCGACGAAUCGGAAAUUGACGUCAUUAUACGGCGGAUACUCAAGGACGAACCCGAAUUUGACGUUAUCACUGAUGACGACGACGACGAACAAUUCAAAUUCUUGCUCUGCUCUGAGAAAUUGUCGUCGGUAUUCGAUCUUAUUGAUGAUGACGACGUAUUGCCGAUUCCGGAAUUGAAUAAAGACAGGGGGGCUGACGUUAGCGUUGGAGGAACUGGAAGUACGAUCAUGGUUGCUGGAUCCUUUUAUAUUCCCAAAUUGAACGAUGAGAAGCCGUUAGGCGAAGAUGCUAGCUUUAUCUGUAUAAAACAACAGACGAUCGGUGUUGCUGAUGGUGUUGGUGGUUGGGCUAAGAAGGGAAUUGAUUCGGGGGUGUAUUCGAGAGAAUUGAUGAAAAACGCGGAACUUGCAGUUCGAAAUAAUGAUAAUAGUACUACUGAUGAUUUGAUGAAAGUGCUGAAUGAAGCUUAUUCGAAUACAAAGGCGAAGGGUUCUUCCACUGCCUGUAUUCUGACUCUGUCUGAUGAUACAUUGCACGCUGUAAACGUUGGAGAUAGCGGGUUCGUGGUGAUCAGGGACGGAUUAAUUGUGUAUAAAUCAGAAAUUCAGCAAUCGAGGUUCAACUGUCCUUUCCAAUUGGGGAACGCGAGUAGUUCUGAUGACCCGAGUGUGGCGCAGAAAAUCAGCUUUCCGGUUAUAGCAGGGGAUGUAAUCGUGUUAGGGACGGAUGGAUUGUUCGAUAAUGUUCAUGAUUUCGAGUUGGAAACAUUAGUGAAAUCUGGGGUGUAUUCGUGGGAGUCGGAUGUGCCGGAGUCUUUGGCAUGGAGGAUUGCGCUAUAUGCAUUGGAUAAUGCAAAAAGCACGGAGCUUUAUUCGCCGUAUUCUAGGGAGUGUUCGAAAGUUGGCAUCGAACGUGAUGGUGGGAAAUAUGAUGACAUUACUGUUAUUGUAGCCAACAUUUGGCCCUUGUAGAGCUCUGUCUGAUCUAACUUACUUGGAGGAUAAGAGUUAACUAUUAGUUGUAAAUAAUUUUUUGAUCUUUGAUUCUUUAUGUUUGGUUCCAUUUACUUAUUCAUUACGUAUAAAACAUAUUUUGUUUGUCCAUUCUGUUCUUUGUCUUUAAUUUUCUUUAAUGCUUUCAAGAUUUGGCCUUUGUAAUAUACGAUUAACAAAGAUAACUGAAAAGGGUUAGUAUGGGGAACCAACGAAGACUGUAAGAUGAGUGAACCAAGUGCAAGCUUUUGCUAAGAAAUUAAGCUUUCAUAAAAGGAACCUGGUAUGCCUGAUUUAAAACAAUUAAUCCACCUUCAUUAACAAAUAGCAAGAACAAGUAUUUACAACUAUGGAGCACUACAAGGAGAUAACCUACCAUCGAGGAAGGUUAGUUUCUCCAUUAUAGGCUCAGCAGGUCAAACAAAAACCAAAAUAUAACCCAUCUAAAUACAAAGUUUCUGUGUCAAGUAACCACAUCUACUAGCUUUCCUAAUCUUGUGCAAUAUUUUCAUCCUUUCAACUAUUUCUUUCUUGAUCUGAAUGAUUGCAGACUCCACUGUAAUUGUUAUUCGCCUAAACAACUUCCAAUUCCUUGCUAUCCAUGUAUGGUAGAUUGUAGCUCCACAGAUUGCAGUUGCAAGUUCUUUUUUGAAUUGUUUCCAGUGUCUUCCUUUUAUCCAGGUGAGCCAUUGUGGGACUCUCUUCCUCUGUGUGCUGAUACCUGACCAUGAUUCCAACUCUGUCUUUACCUGGUUUGUCCAUUUGCAUUCAGCAAAUGAGUGCAACUGAUUCUCUAUUUGAUCUGCCUCACAUAAACAACAUUUAGCAUCAUCAACUUGAAUGUUUAAUCUCUGCAUUCUUUCUUUUGUAAGCAGUCUCUCCUGACUAGCUAUCCAUACAAUUAGACAGGCUAAAUUUCCCCUUUGUAAUAUAUGACUAACAAGAUAACUGAAAAGAGUUAAUAUGAUUCAUCGAUACCUGGGAGCGCCAAUGAAGACUGCAAGAUGAGUGAACCAGGUGCAAGCUCUUGCGAGGAAAUAGCUUUUCUUAACACGAUCCAGGAACUCCUGAUACGGAACAGUUUGUUCCAUCUUCUGCUUCUUCGAGAUUUUGAUAGAACGAUGUAAUCGAUUCGAAAGUGGUGUUGAAGUCAUUAUGAGGGAUCGGAGAUCAUUGAUAUAAGCUUGGAAAUCUGGCAUUUUGCAGCUCUUCUGGUGGCAUAACAUUUGUACAACCUUCAUGACAUUUGAUACUAUGAAAAGAGUGUUUGGUCCUGACGAGCAACCUAAGUCUGCCAUAUUAAGACACUGGGGGAACUCACCAAUAUUAUUGAACAUCUUCUAAAACAGGUUUUGCCUUUAGCAUUACCUUUCUCUGGAAACCAAGAAACAUGAAGUGUAAAUUAUUUACUAGUUCAUAUGACGACAACAAUAACAAUUACGCCUCAAUGCCUAGUACGUUUGGACCGACAAUGCAAGCAAGUUCACACAAGUGGAGUUGAAAAGAGAAAGAGAACUCAAUCGACCUGAAGGGUGGAGGUGCUGGCAUAACUGUAUUCUCCAUCUCCUGCAUUCGCAUGAAGAAUUUUGCUUGCUGCCAUUACUUUUGCUCUGUUUGUCUUCAUAUGUUACUACAUCAUAUGGUGUACAUAACAAAGCAAUACAAUGUUAUUUAUUAAUAGUAUCUUCUUGCAAGUAAACUUUUAUAAUUUACUACUACUCCCCUCACCCCAUAUUAGUUUAUCAAUUUCAAUUUUGCAUGCUCCUUAAAAAGUUAUAAAUAAGUACUCUCUUUAGUCCAUAUCAACUUAAUUUAUGAUUCAUUUUUUCGAAAGCUGGAAUUGAACAUAAUGGUGGAAAAUAUGAUGAUAUUACAAUCAUUGUAGCCACUAUUUUGCCUUUAGUGGGAGAUAAUGUAUCAUGAAUUUAAUUAAGCUUUAUUCGUUGAGGGUCAAAAAAAAAAAUUAUAAGCUCAGUGUAAAUUAAUUUUGAUUCAACUCCAAUAGGUAUAUCCAUCUUUUUUGACUUCUAAACGAAAUUUCAAAAGUUUUGACCUAACAAACUAUAUAUCCUGACUCUUAUGAUACUCCCUCCCUCCAUCAAUUGUUUUCAACUAUUUACUUCAGGUAUAGGUUAAGAAAUAGUAAAUGUUAUGGGUAAUUUUUAUCAUAUUAUUUUUUGAAUAUAAAAAAUUAAUGGUUUGAAAAAUGCAUUAGAUAGUGAAUUCGGUUAUUUAAUACUAGAAGUAAAUGGGUAGAAAUAAGUAAAUUAUUCAUUUAUUUUUCAAACUGAACAAGUAUUAUUGAACAGUAAUUUUUUUUAAUAUAGUAGAUAAUUAAAGAUGAACGGAGGAAGUAAUAAACAAAAGUGCACUGCCAUUAGUUUAAGACAAAGACCCGUUCAAGUUGAAGCAAAACUGCCAGUAAGUUUGUUUCAAUUAAGAGUCUUUGUGAUUGACACUUGUUGUGCUUUGUCACCAUUAAUUAUAGUGAGAAAAACAAUCUCUCUUUUAACGGGGUAAGAAUUGUUUGGCACCAUUGUCUAGUAAUUAUAGUUACAAACAAACCUAUAAAUAGUUGCAUCUAAUGGAUAAAUGUUUUUAGUACAAAAACAAAAUCCAAAUUUGAUCAAACUUUCAAGUAUAUAUAUCUUCUAAUAAGUCUUUUUGUGAAUAUUUUGGAAGAAAAAAAUGCAGGCUAUCAAGGAAAAGUUAAAUGAUAUGAGCGCCAUGCGCAAGGCCAAAGCUGAAGCUAAGGAGGAGGAAAAAGUAAGAAAAUAUAGUGUGUAUGAUCGUAUAUUUGGAAAGCCAAAAAAAUAUUUUUGCCCAAGAAACACUUUAGAAAUCUUGAUCAAAUAUAAAUUGUUGUUUUAAUAUUCGUAAAAAUAUUUUCCAAAUUAAUGAUUAGCUAAAGGAACCUUUCAGCUAGACAAAAACACAAUUAGCUAGCAUAAAAAGUUUAAAUAUGAUAAAAACUAAUUUUUACGUCAGCGACUUUACAACAAAAAAAUUAUAGAAAUUCGGCCAAACAAUCAAUUAGCAUUUAUAACUUGUAGCUUGAAAUAAAAAAAUCAUACAUACAAUCUAUGCUGCUUAGACUUUUUAAAAAUGUCAUUUGGUGUGUGUCGAAUCCUUUAAAAAUAAUGCGUGUUUGGGGGAUCCAACACUGGUGUGACAACAUUUUUGGAAAGUCUUAGCAACUUGGCAUUCAACUGUACGUGGUAUAACAGAUUAAACUAUAUCGAUAAAUUAAAAAUUAUUCUACUAUCAGUAUAUAUAACUUAAAUUUCAAAUGAAAUAGGCAGAGAAGGAGAUGGCUAAGGCAAGAGUAGAAGUAGCACGUGAGGUAAGAUUGGCAAAAGAAGCAGAAGCAGCCAUGGAUAUGCAUGUCAACAAAGCAGCAGAGAAGAUUGCAAAUGAAGAGAAAAAGCACAUUAAUGAAUCUACAGAUGGAACCUUGGACCCUUAUGCAUCUAGUUUCACCAACACUAACAAUCCCAGUGGAGGACACCCUUAUGGUAAUCAUCCUGGUCAGAUGAAUAAUGCUGGCGCAGGACCAAAUAACCAUCUACUUUAAACCCUUCAUGUACGGGGGAGACGGAGCCGGGAAUUCCACAAAAGGGGUUAAAAAUAUAAUUAAGUAAUUAUGAAUAAACGAAGGAGGUUCGAAUGAAGCCCUUUCAUUUCCUAGUUGAGCCCAUGUUUAUGUACUUAGGUAGUUUGAUGCCUCAAGCUUUGUUAUAUAAUGGAAGAAUAAGUUGAGCAACUUUUGAUGUUCUCCAAUCUUCCAAACAAAUAAUAAUACAAAACAAAGAGGUUUUUACAAUGCGAGAUCUAAAAACAUAUCAUUUCAUGUGGCUACAUCAGUAUGAUAUGAUAGAUGAAAUAGUAAUUUGGAUUAUAUUUAGUGAUAAUCUUAUCUCUUUUUUUAUCAUCUCCCACCUUUUCUGUACAAGUUAGAGAAGGUUUAACGUAAAAUUUACACAAAAUUACUUGAAUGAGCAACAAAGCCUGAUCUCUAGAUUUCAAUUUUAAUUUGGUCGUAGUGCUCCUAAAACACGUUUUGUAUUAUUAAACACCACAAGUUCUAAUUGUGAAUUAAUUGACAUGUGAUUUUAAAAAGAAAACUCCCUUACUCUAAAAUGUGAUUGUAAAGUUUCUCUAGUACUGCGGAAAACACUCCGUCAAAAAUCAAACAAAAUACAACAAAAACAGCGUACUAGCAUAUCUCGGCUUAAGAAAAAAUAAUCCAACGCAGUCCAGAAAAUGAAUAAACGCUACUAAAGAAACACCAAGACCUCAAAAAGAGGUCAGAAAAAACCAACCUCACGAGGUCAAUAUUAUAAUUUUUAGCUCCAAAAAAAAAGAAAAAAAAAUUGCAAACGGAUUAGAGCGGCAAAUACGAAAUGUCUGGAUUCUUUUCUCCGUUUUAUUAGAGCCCUCACUUUAUUUGCACAUUGCGCUUAAAAUCCUAACGAACCUGUGAGUUUUUUUUGUUUUUUUUUUUGCACCUUUUGCUUUUGAUAACACUAGUUGUUAGGCUAUAAAUGAGGCAAUAAAACAGGUAGCAACGUAAGAAAGCCAUUCUCAACAAUUACAUGUGACUCCUCAUUAAAAGGAAAAUGUUAUUAUAUGUUUUAGCCAAAAAUUUCUUUUCAAAGUUAAACAGUACAUGAGAUUCUUUUACCAAUAUAUAUAUAUAUAUAUAUAUAUAAAGAGAAGACAUUUAAAAAAAUUAAAGUGGGACUCCCCAAAAAAUUGGGCAUCAAGCCAUUGCUUUAGUUGUCUUAUAGUCAGCCUUGUCCGUAGUUCCACCAGAGAUGAUGCACUAGGAUCCAGAUUGUCUCAUUCUCUGCAUUUUGUUGAACAAAUAAAUUUAUUUAUUCGUAGGAAAAACACAAAAAAGAAAGAAAAUACGUGUAAGAUAUAUACUCAUGAAACUUCAAAAAUGUGCUGAAAUUAAUACAAAAACAAACAAUAUCUGUUGUCGCGAAUUCUGAAACAAUCAUCCAAUGUGUUACAAGGAUAAGUGAAAACAUUAUUGAUUAUCAUAAAAUCAAACAGUGAACUAAAAAAGAAAGAAUUUGGGGGAGGUACUUUUGGUGUGGUUACAUAGCAGCUUAUGAGAUCAAUCAUAUUUGAGAAGGACGUUACCUCUGCUUUGCAAAAUGGAGCAGCUAUAUAUGUACGAAACUAAUACACCAACUUCCAGUAUUUUGUCAUAUGUUCGUCUUAUGAAAUCAACUAAAAGUUAAUACAAUAUGAAAAGGAUAUCAAAAAUGAAGUCUCACCUACUCUGCUAAUCAAAUGAUGUAGCUGAUUCUAUUCCUACAGAAUACAGAUAGAACACAUUUAGAUAAUUUGAGCUACCCAAUACUCAGUACAACUUAUGCCUGAAAAUCGAAAUUGUUGACAGCAAAGCUGAAGUAAACAAACUAAGACAAUAACAUACCCAGUGCAGUACCACAAAGUCGGGUCUCGAGAGGUAGAGUGUAUGCAGACCUGACCUCUACCUUAGAAGUGGGUGGACCGGCUCAAGACAAAAACAGCCUAGAAAUAGAAGUAAUGAAAGUACAAGUGAUAAGAGAUAGUAACAAAAACAUUAGAUAGUACAAGAAAAGUACUAAAACAAAAUAAUACUAUAAUCCAAUUAGAAGAAACAAAAUAUAGAACAAAAAACGAAGGACAAGAAACUAAAAAGAGUAGUCCUACAACUACCAGUAAGGGCAUGUAAACACACUACAUUUUAAAAAUACUAAAGGAUGUAGUUGUCACAGUCCAACUUCAGAACCGUGAUGGCACCUAUCCCACCCUCCAUGAUAGGUAAGCCAUGAAUCCAAUUCCAAACACAACAUCCCAAACUAAUAGAAGCGGAAGGAAUUAUGAAUAAAAUAAUUUUCGAAUAAUCUCAAAUGUAAAUUGUUAGACUAGUAUAGUCAAAACAUAGACAAUCCCAGUUCUGAUAGUCAUUAACACAAGCCACUAAAUAGCGAAAUCAAAGAAAAGUUUGAAUAUCUUAAAAUGCAUAAAGAUAAGGCUAGGGGAGAUUUCAGUAGUUUCUGAAAACAAAAGCAGCUACCUCAAAUUUCCAAAGAUGCUAACAUCGAAGAAACCACAAGAACCAAUGUCCAAAAGUCGUCGGAUCGAUACCUGCACGUAGUGCAGAGAAAAAAAGCAAGGGUGAGUACAGAACCACGUGUACUCAGCAAGCAUCGUCGACCAACCCUAAUUCAAAGUGGCGACAAAUAACACCACGUCAAUCAUCUAAAAACAAACAUACAACCUGCACUAAGGAAAACCACUCUAAUCUAACUGAAUAAUCAGGUCUAACUGUCCUAAAGAUAUCAUAACACAGUUCAAAAAAUCCCCAAUAGGGGUGGGCAUUCGGUCGGUUAGGUCUGAUUGUUUAAUAUCGGUUCGGUUUAUCGGUUUGACAAAAAUGACAUUCGUAACCAAACCGAAAUAAAUUUGGUUUGGUUUCAAUUUUACAAAUUCGGUUCGGUUAUUUCGAAUUUUUAUUUCGAUUUGAAAUAUUAAAGUAGUUAGUCUCUCUUUUUCGUAACUGAGCAUUUAAACUGAUGGAUUUUUUUAGAAAAAUUAUUUUUUUCAAACCUAUUUUUCAUUCUCAAAUAUAAAUAACUCAACAUCGAUGAAGCGAAAUGAAAUAAUCAUAAGCUUAAUAUAAUACAUAAAGUUAUUGAUCAUUACAUAUAAUAUAACCUUGCAUAAAUAGUCCAUAAAACAGUCCAAAGUCAUCAAAAUAGUCCAUAAAAUAUUUGAGUCACUAAAACAAUCCAUAAACAGCUUGUGGCGUUACGGCAUAUGCGAAUUUGCUAUUAAAUGUUAAUUGUGAAUGUGAAUUACUAAAUAUUAUAUAUAUAUAUAUAUAUCAUAUAUAUAAUAAAAUAUAUAUAUUAUUUAUCUAAAAAUAUAUAUAUAUCAUUUAUUUAUUUAUAAAAUAUCGGUUUUUCGGUUUAACUGAAUUUUAAAAAAAAAAUGAAAACCGAACCGAAAAAUCGAAAUUUUAAAAUUACAAACCGAAAAAUCGAAACCAAAAUUAAAUUUCGGUCUGGUUUUUCGGUUUAAACCAAAAUAUCCCCACCCCUAAUACAGUAAAUCAAGUACUUAAUAAAUAAUCAAAACUCAACAAAUACACCUUACUGAAUCUGAGUCGGGAAUGAACAAAUGUUGUGCAACGCAAUGCAUAUGCUAUGUACACAUCUACCGAGCAAUGACUUUAAGGUCAAGACCCAUGGGGGAUUCACAACAUCCAUGUACUGUGCAGGCGUGCACUCCAAUCUCAAUAAAUAUAUUGUGCAGGCAUGCACUCCGACCACAAUAAUAGAUAACAAUGUACAGGCGUGCACUCCGAUCCCAUAUGUAAUGCGUAACAUGCGACUUCGAUCUCAAAUCAACAAUAAUGUUAAGCAAAGCAUUUCAUGUCUUAUGCCGAAUAAAUAUCAACUCACUUAUCAAGUGAGAGUAUUCCCAUUAACCACCUUUUUCAACAAUUCAUUUACCAUAGCAAGUCAGCACAUCGUGCUAGCAAAUAGGGAAACAGCUCAAAACAUACAAUUAACUGAUUCUAACCCCUCAAAUAACAUCGUACCCGCGUACUCGUUUCUUCGUCCAUAUGGGACCCUCAUUCCCCAUUACUCAUAACUAACAAAUAAGCACUUUGAAAAAGAGUCUAAGAAAUUUUCAACUUGCCUCAAAAGAAGUUCAAACGUCAAUUAACAAGCUUGCCCUUACGUAAAAUCUCUGAACAGUCAAAAUCUGUUCAAAUAUCUAAUCCCCAUAAGAGUACAAACUAGCGUGUCGAAUUUAAGCUAACAUGCAUCAUUAUUCAACUCUCAAACCAAGAAUUUUUACUCCAAAAAUCCUAAUUUAUUAAAUAAAAGAACACAAACUAGCAAUCACUAAACUCAACCUGACAACAUAGCCAUUUGUCUGCCUACCAGUACAGCCAAUGAUUGGACCAUAAUGUCACUUUUUCCUUUUAAUCAUUAUCUCGUAAUUAGUGUUCUUAUAUCAAUUCUCAUUCUUACUACAUUAAUCCACCGCUAACUUUAAUCUAACCUAAUAUUUUCUGCCAACAACCAACUAUUAAUAUCAUGCCCUCCAGAUCAUGAUAAUUAAGAUGGCAUAAAAAUAGAUAGCUAACCUGAAAGCCGACUCUGAAAUCCUCGCAUGAAAAGAAAAAAAAAACUGCAACUUUGUGCCUUAUGUGCUCAACCUUAUGAGGUGUUUUAUUAUUAUUCUUUUAUUUUAAAACCUCCCCACUUAAAUAUAUUCUUGUAUUGACCACAUAAGUAAAUAAAUUAUAGGUUUGACCCAUUAGAUUACUAAUUAAAUUAAUCAUCUAAAAUAUCCAAAAUUUGAAAUAGAUAUCCUCAUCUCUUUGACAACCCAGAUACCUUCUUUCUCUUUAAUGACCCUGCAAAUUGUUUUAUAAACUUAUUUUAUUUUAACCCACCACCACCCCCGUUUUUAGACGUGAUUUAUGACUUACGAGAAUGAUUCUUGAGGUGUUCGAAUGCGAUUUAAAUCAUUAGAUGGACUGUUGAGUUUUAAUAAAUUUAAGUUCGCUCACAGUCAACCUUUGAUCAAGAAGAUCUCGAUUUGGUAUGUUAAUGUUUCCAAUAGGCCCGGACGUACCUUUUAGUCAAUUUCUAUAUAUAAUUUAUUUUUAUACGGGGUUUAAAACAAACUAUGAGGACCUACUUAAAAUUUUGGGUAUUUUAGAUAAUUAAUUUAAUUAAUAUUUUAAUGAGUCAAACCCAUAAUUUAUUUACUUAUAUGGCCAAUAAAAGAAUAAACUUAAGUGAGGAGAUUUUAAAAUAAAAGCAUAAUAAUAAAACACCUUAUAAGGUUGAGCACAUGGGUCACAAAGUUGCAGCUUUUUUUUCUUUUCAUGCGAGGAUUCCAGAGGCGGCUUUCAGAUUAGCUAUCUACUUUCAUAGGAUUUAUUCCUAAUGUUAUCUUAAUUAUCAUGAUAUGGAGGGCAUAAUAUUAGUAGUUGGUCGUUGGCAUAAAAUAUUAGGUUGGAUUAAAGUUAGCGGUGGAUUAAUGUAGUAAGAUUGAGAAUUGAAAUAAGAACACUAAUUACAAGAUAAUAAUGAAAAGGAAAAAGUGACACUAUGGGCCAAUCAUUGGUUGUAGUGGUAGGCAGGAAAAUGGCUAUGUUGCGAGGUUGAAUUUAGUGAUCACUAGUCUGCGUUCUUUUAUCUAAUAAAUUGGGAUUUUAGGUCUAGAUUUUUUGAGUAAAAAUUCUUGAUUUGAGAGUUGAAUGAUGAUCUAUUUUAGCCUAAAUUCGACACGCUAGUUUGUACUCUUAUGAGGAUUAUGUAUUUGAACAGAUCUUGACUGUUCAGAGACUUUACGGAAGGGCAAGCUUUGUAAUUGACGUUUGAACUUUUUUUGAGGCAAGUUGAGACUUUCUUAGACUCACAAAGUGCUUAUUUGUUAGUUAUGUGUAAAGGGAGUAAUGAGGAAUGGGGGUCCCAUAUAGGUGAAGUAACGAGCAUCUAUGCGGGUACUGAUGUUAUUUGAGGGGUUAAAAUCAUUUAAUUGUACGUUUUGAAUUGUUUUCCUAUUUACUAGCCCAAUGGGCUAAUUUGCUGUGGUAAAUGAAUUAUUGAAAAAGAUGGCUAAUGGGAAUACUCACACUUGAUAAGUGAGUUGAUUUCGAAAUUGAUGUUUAUUCGGCAUAAGACAUGAAAUGUUUUGCUUAACAUUAUUAUUGAUUUGGGAUCGGAGUUGCAAGCCCGCACGUCAUGCAUUGCAUUACAUAUAGGGUCGGAGUGCACACCUGCACAUUGUUAUCUAUUAUUGGGGUCGAAGUGCACGCCUGCACCAUAUAUUUAUUGAAAUCGGAGUGCAUGUCUGCACAAUACAUGAAGUUUGUGAGUUCCUAUGAGUCCUGACCAUAAAGCCAUUGCUAGGUAGGUGUGUACAUAGCAUAUGCAAUGUAUUUGUUGACUUUGUAUUAUUUAUUAAGUAAUUGAAUUUUUGUUACUUGAUUUACUGGAUUGAGAAUUUUUUGGACUGUGUUCUGAUAUCCUUAUGACUGUUAGACUUGAUUAUUCAGUUAGAUUAGGGUGGUUUUCCAGAGUGCAGGUUAUAUAUUUGUUUUUAGAUGGUCGACGUGGUGUUACUUGUCACCGCUUUGAAUUAGGGUCGGUCGACGAUGCUUGCUGAGUACAUGUGGUUCCGUACUCAUCCUUGUGUUUUUUCUGCACCAUACGUGCAGGUACCGAUCUGACGACUUCUGCAAAUCGAUUCCCGUGAUUCCUUCGGUGUUAGCAUCUUUGGAGAUUCGAGGUAGUUGCUAUUGUUUUCAGAGACUGCUGAAAUCCCUUCUAGCCUUAUCUUUAUGCAUUUUCCGCAUUUUAAGAUAUUCAAACUUUUCUUUGAUUUCGAUAUUUAGUGGCUUGUGUUAGUGACUACCAAACCUGGGAUUGUCUUGUUUUGACUAUACUAGUCUAACAAUUUACUUUUGAGAUUAUUCGGAAAUUAUUCUAUUCAUAAUUCCUUCCGCUUCUAUAAGUUUGGGAUAUUGUGUUUGGAAUUGGGUUCAUGGCUUACCUAUCACAGAGCGUGGGAUAGGAGUCAUCACGGUUCCGAAGUUGGGUCGUGACAGAUGGUAUCAGAGCCCCAGGUUCAUUGGUCUCACAAGUACAAGUCAAGUCUAGUAGAGUCUCGCGGAUCGGUACGAAAACGUUCGUUACCCAUCUUCGGGAGGCUAUAGGACUUAAGGAAAUAUUCAUUUUCUUCUCUCUAUUAUCAUGCAAUAUUGAUCCCUUUAAUUUGAAAUACUGAAAUACUUAUCUUAUUCUCUCACAGAUGGUGAGGAGUCACACAUCUCAAGAUGGUGGUCAAGAGCCCCCGCCAGCCCCCGAGCCGAUCGCCCGAGAUAAGAUACACAAAUGGGGUAAGAGACGUGGUAGGGGCAGAGGUCGUGGUAGAGAGAGAUGUCGAGGAGCCGCUCAGAUUUCUGAUAGUGUGGGGUCUCUCGGGGUUGAGUUCGAGGCAGGUGGUGAUGAUGUUCAGGUUCCAGCUGAUGAUGCGGGCCUAGGUCAGGCACCACCAGGGUUUGUUGCUACACCAAUUCUUCAGGAUACCUUGAUUAAAGUGUUGGGUGUUGUGGAGACUAUAACUCAGGGAGGCGGAUCAUUUGGUACUCCACAGGGUUCACAAGUUAGGAUGGGGGCACAGACCCUAGAUAGCAAUCCAUUCUAAUUUAUCAGGGUCUAGUGGUUCAGCUAGCAUCGAGGUACGAUGGUAUGCCCUUACCAGGGGUUGGAGCUACCGGUGGGAUUAGGGCGGGUAUGUCCGAUGAGGAGCAGCGUCGAUUCGAGAAACUUAGGAAGAUGGAUCCACCGCAGUUUCAGGGUGAUCAGCGUGAAGAUGCCCAUGAGUUUCUGGUCAGUUGCCACGAGAGACUUCAGAGUGUGGGAUUGGUUGACUCCCACGGAUUAAUUAUACUGCCUUACAGAUGUGUGGUCCCACCAAGCAGUAGUGGUGCUCCUAUAUUGAUUCCAGCCAAUGGGUUCUCCACCGAUGACUUGGGCGACGUUUGCACAAGCUUUCCUUGACAAAUUCGUCCCUCGUAGCUCGAGGAAGGAGCGUAGGAACCAGUUUGAGAAUUUGACAUAGAAGGGUAUUUUCAUGAUUGAGUACGAGAUUCGAUUUUAUGCAUUGUCCCGUUAUGCUAUGGUGAUCUUGCCAGACAAGGCCAAGAUGAACAAAAGGUUUAUGAGAGGGUUGACACUUUGGAUCAGAGAGGCCGUGUUUGUUGUAGCCCAAUCUGGGGCUUCUCUUCAGAGGGUGGUUGAAACAGCAAAGGAGUUUGAGUUGAUACAUCGUGAGCAGUAUGGGGAUCUAAGGGGCAAGAGGUCCGGUACUUCAGGUUGAUUCACUAGUACCUCAUCUGGAGGUAGGGGUUCAUUCAAAAGAGAUUUUCGCCCCCAGCAUGGUACGCCAAUUCAGGCAGACAUCAGUAGGUAGACAUUCAGGUCGGGGGGGUUAUGGGUCGGGACAAGCUUCACAGGGUUCAUCUCAGCGGUUUUCAGGUCGUGGUGGCCAUAUCGGAUAUUCAGGUCAUUCUCGACAUUUGAUGGCUCCCAGUCCUGUCAUGAGUGUGGUAGUCCAGAUCAUCACGGAGGGUGGAAUAGGUGUCAUCACGGUCCCGAAGUUGGGCCGUGACAGUAGUACCUCUGAUGGUCAUGGUACAACGGGAUUCUAUGAUAGCCAGAUCCAUUUCCCAGUAACAGCGCAACCUCAAUAGGGAAAAAGAGAAUGGAUUACAUGAGUCCGCAAAUUUCUCCAGAUUCAUUAAGAUGCAUGUGCCCUACACGUGCAGAACCCAGGAUUACUUGAUGUUAAUAAAAUGUUAAUGCGCCUAAUCUAGGCCACAUCAUCACACACAACGAUAAUCCAUUCAUUAGUUAGACACUUAAAGCACAGUUCUGAUGAUUAGUUUCCUGCGAUAAUCCGUUCGUUAGACAGACAAUUGACGAUUGUCACACAUGAUAAUAAAAGUUUUUAAGGAAAAGAACUUGGAGCAAAGCAAUAGUACUAUUGAGCCCCUAAUACCAUUGGACUUAGAUGAAAAACUCCUCGGUUCACAAGGCCAGAACUUUUAAGGAUAUUUAAGAAAGAUCUUUGCAUAAGCUAUCACAUCCAAGAUUCGGAUGGCUUCCAUCUUCUAUAUCUGUUUCAAUUGAUACAUAUAAGAGCUUAAAUUUUUUAUAAAAAGAAGAAGAAAGAUAGGGUACUAAAGAAUUCCAAACAGAUUGUUUGGAAGGUGUAUUCAAAAAAGACCGUAAAAGUAAAAAAAAAAAAAAAGAUAAAUAAUUUACCCUUUUCAUUAAUAGUUUGAUCACAAAAUUAGUAAAUAGUUUAUUUAGCACAAGAGAGAUUUCUUUUCUGAUGAAGAGCACAAGAUAGAUUCAAAUGUUCACUAAGACAGAGUUGAUCCAAGAGUUGAUCCAAGUACUGCUAAACAACCUGUUUUUUUUGGCUAUCACGUAACAAUACCCUUAAUUUAGACAUUGACAACUGUUUUGAAGUUUUGCUACUCUUUGCGUGUACAAUGUAAUCAUGCAUGAUAUGCUUCAUCCUAUUGCUUAUGCCAUUUGAUUUCAAGAUAAAUACAAUCAUCUCAUUGCAAUAAACAUUGGUAAGUGUUUGUCCAUUGGUUUCCUUUAAUCUUCAAAUCAUAUGUAGACCUUUUUUUUUCCUUUUCCGUUGAUAUCCCUCUUUUGUUGGAUAAUUGAGCCUUACAUGUAAGUACUUUGGUUUGUCUAAAGUGAUGGCAAACAUAUCCAUUCAAUUAAUAAAAUAUGAAGUUCUCCUAGUAAAAAUAGCUAACUUAACAUUUGUGAACCUUGAAAAAACUUUAAAAUGUAUAUAAAACCAAGAUUAGUACAAAUACCCGGAACCCUCUGUCAAAAUAUUAUUGAAAUAACUUCAUAUAGGUGGAAAUUUUCAAGAGAUGUAUCCUCAAGAAAACAUAAGAAGCAAUUAUCAAAUUUAUUGGAACACAUUAAGAAGGUGAAACCGAGAAGGAACAAAAAUACCUUUUGGAAAAUAAGUUCACCAACUUAUUUGUAUAUGGAAUUGCAAUAACACACGCAAUCAGAAUAGACAUGGCAUCAAACCUCAACCUGAGAAUUUUAUCAAAAGAAAACACAAUAAGUAGGAAACUUACGAAGUAGUAAUUGAUAAGUAAAAAUAAACUAUAUUGACAAUAAACUAAAAUUUUGAUAGAUAUUCUUUCAGAGAACACAUGGAAGCACUUUUAAUGAAAAUACUUUUGUAAGAGACAUCACAUUCAAUUACAUCAUAUAUAAUGAAUGUACAAGUUAUUAACAAAUAGGGAAAAAAUCUUACCGUCAGCCAAUUAUCAGUGCCUUUGACCCAGUAGUUCGAGACUUUGUCUAAAAGAACAAAAUCAAAGAAAUUAAGAAAACAAACACAAUCAUAAAACUACUUGUUUUUGCAGUACUGUACAAUCCACUCCUUAGAAAUUUUAGAUGAAGACAAAAUCUUGAGGUUGUGCAUCUAGGGCAGAAGAAGAAUACGGGUAUGGAACAAAACAGAAAAUCAGGGGAGGAAGUGAAUAGCGAAAACCUGAUAACGCAUGUGAUGCAACCAGAAACAAACAGAUAUUGAAGAAAUCCAAAGCUCCACAUGUCUUUCUUCUGAAAAAAGCGACAUUGAGCGAAAGAGGGAUUAAUUUCAAAUGAAAAGGUGGCGAGACUCAUGUUUCAAGUGUAUGCACAUGGCUUUGGGAGAUGAAUGAAGCUCAACACACCUCAUUCCUGUAAAAUUACAAAUUGCACUUAUUCAUUCGUUUUGUUGGUAAUGCACAUGGUACAAUUUUUUGCUGCAGUUUCCGUACCUCUCUUGUUCACACACACAUAUAUAUUACUUAUUAUUUUUUACAAUUGUCAAGACUGACAUUUGUUUAAGAGCAGAAAAAAGUAGUUUCAAAGACCAACCCUUGCCACUACUUCAGUUAGGAUUGAUCCCCCUACUCAUGCUACACCUUUUUGUGUGCAGAGUUAGGUCCGAGUACCAGUGGAGCAUGCGAAGUUGCUCGAUUUCAGGAGUUCUUUGUUGGAAACUUCACGGUGAGCUCCUUGACCGAUCUACAACACCAGUCUCCUCUAUACCUUUUCCUUUCGUGUCUUUCAUUUCAGAUAAUGCAGUGAUACUUUUAGAUUUGUAUAAAUCUAGGCUACAGUUCUACGACUUCCAGGGUUUAGGGGAUAUUGUGGUAUUUCCGUAUUUCUAUGGCUAUUAGACUAUUUUUUCUUAUCAGAUAAACAGUUUCAUAGAUUUCAUUGAUACUAACAAGGCCAACAUGGCCGUAUACAAGAGGUAUACCAAAAAAGGAGAAAAACCUACAAAAAAUGGUUCUCUCUAAAAGACACCAAAUACUCUAUACCAACAGGAACUACAUGGAUGCACCAAAAGAAAAUAAGAUAUCGAAGACUACUUCUCAAUUGAGCAGAAUUCAUCCCCACCCCUUCAAAAAGCUCUCCUAUUCCUCUCUUUCCAAAUAACCCACAUUAGUACAAGAGGAAUAACAACAUUCCACGCCUUGUGUCUUCUUCUUCUAGCUCCACUUUCCGGCUGAACAUCAACUCCUUCACAGAUCUUGGCAUUACCCUGGAAACGCCAAACCAUCUGAAUAUAUCCCUCCAUAACCUCGUUGCUAAAUCAAAAUGCAAUAGAAUAUUAUCUGCGUCCUCCCCUCCCUCCUUGCAAAGGAAACACCAGCUUAAACAAACAACCUUACGUUUUCUAAGAUUCUCCGCUGUCAAUAUCACUCCUCUAGUAGCUAGCCACACGAAGAAACUCACCUUCCUUGGCACCAUAGACGUCCAGACCGCACUGUGUGGAAACCUCACCUCCGCCCUAACCAAGAGCUUCUCAUAAAAGGACUUAACUGAAAACACUUUGUUACCUCCCAACUCCCAAUACAUUGCAUCGGGUCUGUCGACUAGGUCGCAUUGCUCCUGAAAUCUUUGAAGUUCGAACAUCUCCAAAUCCUGAAAGUUUCUCCUGAACCACAAAUCCCAGAAACACCUGUCCCCUUGUGUCCCCCUAACUCGCUGAGCAGACUCAUCUCUUUGCAAGAUACCCUAUACAAAAUUGAAAACACACCCUUAAGCACCAUCCCUCUACCACUUAUGACCCAAAAACUAACCUGUACUCCCAUCCCCGGCCUUAAAAUCAAUGUUGUCAUAAAAGGCUUCCCAUCCCUUCAUUAUGCACCCACACCCGAAAGGCAUAAUGAUCCUACUUGUUCUCCACCCCCCUUCCGAUUAUCCAUAUUCAUCCGCUAUCACCCCUCUCCAUAAAGCAUCUCACUCGACCCCAAAUCUCCACAACCAUUUACCUAAAAGUGCUGUGUUAAAAACCUUCAAAUCCUUAAUCCAAAGUCCUCCCCGCUGUUAGACUAUGUUAUGAGUUAAUUAUGUAUUUCGCUUUUUGGUUCCGCUUUAAUAUAAAAAUUGGGCAAAAACAGGUUAGGGUUUGCCUAAACUUAGGUGUAGGUGCUCUCACGACUGGGUUGUGACAAUUUAGUGUUAGAGACCCACAUUCACUGACCUCCUGGGUACAAUAGUCAUGUCUAGUAGAGUUUUGCAGAUAGGAUAGAGACAUGUAUUAUCUCGAGAGGCUAUGAAACACUUCGGAAACAAGUUUAUAGCCUUGACCGCCUGGUAACCUUCAAGCAUUUGUAGAUCUCUAUUUUUUCACCAAAUUGGAACUAUUAUUAAUUGGGGGGGUCAGCCCGGUUCAUACCCACUCCGUGGGUGUCGGGGAAGGGAUAAUCUAGGCAGCCUCACCCCAACUUCGCUGAAGGGCUGAUUCGAACCCAGGACCUGGCACACCACGGUAAGCAAUCUUACCGCUGAGCCAAGCCGGUAAUUUCACUUAAUAAUAUAUUAUUAACACACACACACACGCACACACACCAAUUUUUUGGUUUUGUUUUUGAACAUUUGUGCCUUUCAAAUGCUAAGUAAGCCGGAAAAGCCUAUUUCUGAUGCAGGGGAUAUAAUGAUUUUUCAUGGAACGAAUUUGUCACUACGAAGGGAGAAUUAAAAAAUUAGAAACAUGAAACCAAAACAUAUACAUGUUAGAAACAAUUUUAAUGUUAUGGAGUGUAGAAACAAUUCUAGAUAAUUGACUAAAACAGAACACUUGCAUUUCUCAACUUAAUGAAGCCCGGAAAGUAAUGAAUCUCGUACUAUCACCUUAUUUUUCAAUAGAUGGAUAUUAAAUAUUUCUUCUUGAUAAUCUUCUUUACUGUUUUGAUUCAUUUUCAGUUUUAGAUGUGUCAUUAGUUUACAUUGGAAAGUUCCGGAAUGAGAAUUACCUGAUACGUAAACUGAUUUGUUAAAUUUUUGAAGCGGAAGUGAUCAUUUUUGAAAACCAUACUAAUAAAAACAUUUUCAAUAACAACAACAAUAAAAGCGCAAAUAAAUAUAUAAGUAUCCAGUAAACGUUAAAAGAAAAUUGACCAUAGAUUCAAUAAGUGAACGAACCAACAAACUUUGAAAAAUACAAUCACUAAACACAACAGAAAGUCUAUUCAAAUAAGGACAACAGGAAAGAGAUGUGAACAGUCUCUUGAGUUUUGACACAACUUAAACAUGCAAAACAGUACAAUACAUAUACAAUCCAUGGGACAACAUGGACAUACAAAACAUUACUAAUUAAAAAACACAAACAUUGCUGCUUGGUCCUUAAAUUUUAUUGUUGUGGUUUGGAUCUUGAACAUUAAUUUUGUUCCAAUAUGAAUCAUAAAAUAACGCCAUUACAUCAUCGUUACUCCAGUCUAUCGACUCAGACAAUGCUGGACUCCAUUCUCCAUCAGUGUUGUUGUGGUUUGUAUCUUUAGCAUUAGUUUUGUUGAAAUAUGAAUCAUCAAAAAAAAAUCAUUUCAUUAUCAUCAACCCAGUCUAUCUACUCAGUCAAUGCAGGACUCUGUGGAAAGCCGUCAACAGAGUAUUUUUGGUAGUCAUUCAUCAGCAAUGAUAAAUCCACUGUGGGGAUAUACAUUGAAGAGUCCAUUUGAGGUAUCAUCAAUAUGAAUCAUCAAAAAAAAAUCAUUUCAUUAUCAUCAACCCAGUCUAUCUACUCAGUCAAUGCAGGACUCUGUGGAAAGCCGUCAACAGAGUAUUUUUGGUAGUAGUCAUUCAUCAGCAAUGAUAAAUCCACUGAGGGGAUAUACAUUGAAGAGUCCAUUUGAGGUAUCAUCACAGGAAACACUGAAGCAGACACUUCAUAAGCCAUUGUUGUUGAAGGUAAUGGAGGGGCCACUAUAGGAGCCCUUCUAUGAGGAACUCGCGAGGGGUCCACAGUAGGAACCAUUUGAGGAGGAGCCGCUAGAUGAAACAAUUGUUGGGGCAACAUGGGAACCACCCAUGUUGGAGCCACAUCAGGGACCAACAAAGGAUCCCUUUCCACCUCAAAGUUGGCCCCUCAGAUCUAGUCCAACCUGGCACCACCGGUCCAACAACUGCUUGAGAGGCAUUCGAUGUAGAACCCUCUCUGUCAAUAGGAAGGACUUUUUCCUUCAACACUUCAUUCUUCGUGUUCGUGUUUGUGAUUUCUUUAACCUUGGUGAACUCUUCUCUUGUCACUACACUCUUUGAUUGAACCAACGUUGGAAGACUCUUAAACUUUCUAAAGGUGUUGAGUGUAUCUUCAUAAUGUGGAAAGACCACUGGUCCAUUGCUGUAAGGACUGUAGAUGACAGCAGCUAUUUCAACACCACAAAGUGUGUUGAGUUCAUGAGCUUUUUUCAUGAUUGUCUUCUAUUGUAUGAGAGUUUCCUCUCAAUGUUAUUUUCAAUGAAAUGAAAAAUUCAUGUUCUUUCUCGUCAUGGCUAAAAGGGGGAAAGAGGAGGAGAAAUGUGUGUUUUUGGAUGGGGAUCAAAUGACUUUGGUAUUGUUGUGUUUCUUUGCCUAGGAUUGAUUUCUAUUUUUAGGGGAAAUGCAAAUUCGAAUUAUUUUGGAAUAGUUUGAAUUAGAGGAUUCUUAGCUGUCAGAAGUAACUAUUUUGGCAUGAACUUAAAUAAGGGUGUAUUAGAUACCAAGUUAGAUGUUAUCAUCUUAAAAUAUAGGUAGUUUAUGGCUCUGAUCUUAUCCUGACCAAAUUUUGAUCCAAACUUUACCAAGUUAGAUGUUACCAUCUUGAAAUAUAGGUAGUUUUUGGCUCCGAUCUUAUCCUGACCAUUUUUUAAGUCGAGCUUUUCUUAUUAGGAGAAUAAUUUAGCGUGGCUUAAUCUGAUUCAGUUAGAUCAACAAAAGAUGGCCAUAGAGUAAUUAAUUUCAUUCAUUAAGAAAUACAAAAAAAUGUUUAUUUUAAUUUAUAGAUGUGCAAAAUUUAUAGAUUGAAACAAGCGAACAUUUCAAUAUUGAUAUAUGUUUGUUUUUUUUUUGAAACUGGUAACAUGUAUUCAUCAUCAUUAAGGGCAUGUUGGCCACCUCCAAAAGUGUGAUUACAUAGAUAGCUAAUUACAAAAGACCUAGGAAAUCCACUGUUUGUAUUUCAUCUACUAUACAAUGCUCUUUACACCAAAAACAUAAAGUAGAAAUACAUUUUCCUUUGAUCUUCUGGAUGCAGUUUGAUCUUUCUUUGAAUAUUCUCUUAUUUCUCUCCUUCCAUAUAGUUCACCAUAUAUAAGUCGGAAUAGUUUUUCACCAUCUCUUUUGGCUUUUGCUACCUCCCCUUCUAAUCCAGCAACUCAACAGAUCAGCAGUGUGUUCUGGCAUUGUCCAGUUACUCCAGCCAAGGUGAUGAAUAGGGACCAAACUUGGGAAGUCACCUUACAGUGUAGGAAAAGGUGGUUGUUUCAUUGGCUUCCAUACAAAGAGGGCAUAUAGAAGCUAAAUGAAAUUUCAUUUUCUGUAAUGCCUCGUGGGUGAGACAUGCCUUCCUCACUACCAGCCAAGAAAAGCAUCUCACUUUUGCGGGUGCCAUGCUUCCCCAAGUGGUUUUCCAAGGCCCUCUACUUCUUCCAACUAGCACUAAAAGACCGCUCUUGUAGACUCUGUUAACUAAGAAUUUGACAUCAAUGUUGUGUCUCCAUCUGAUGGUAUCAAGCUCACUGAUAGUCCCUGUGAAGGUACCUAUUCUACCAAGUAAAGCAACCACUUGUUCUACCGCCCAGUCAUUGAAAAGCCUUCUGAAAAUUAAGUUUCAUCCCUGAGUUGUCUAGAUGUCCUCUAUUAUGGUGUUUUGGUUGGUGCUGAUGUUGAGCUAUUAAGGACAUGUACGAUGGAGGGAAGACCAGGGUGAGGACGGCGGGAGGAGACUCAGAGCAUUUUCCGGUCGAGACAGGGUUGUAUCAGGGAUCGACUCUUAGUUCGUUCCUUUUUGCGUUAGUGAUGGACGUGCUGACUCGGAAUAUUCAAGGCGAAGUGCCUUGGUGUAUGUUAUUUACGGAUGAUAUAGUGUUGAUUGAUGAGAUGUGGGGGGUGUGAAUGACAAAUUAGAGGUUUGGAGGCAAACCCUUAAGUCUAAGGGGUUCAGGUUGAGUAGGUCCAAGACGAAGUAUUUGGAGUGCAAGUUUAGUGACUUGAGGCAGGAGGACGAAGCGGUGGUGAGGUUGGAUUCCCAGGGUAUUUGUAAGAAAGAUAGUUUUAAGUAUCUUGGGUCUAUAAUUCAGGGGAAUGGUGAGAUUGAUGAGGAUGUCGCUAAACGUAUUGGAGCGGGUUGGAUGAAGUGGAGGCUCACCUUGGGAGUGUUGUGCGAUAAGAAGGUGCCCCUUAAGCUUAAAGGCAAAUUCUAUAGAGUAGCAGUCCGUCCGGCCAUGUUGAAUGGAGCGGUUGGUUGGCCUAUCAAACACUCCCACAUCUAAAAAACGAAGGUGGCGGAAAUGAGGAUGUUUUGUUGGAUGUGUGGGCAUACUAAAAGGGACAAAGUUAGGAAUAAGAUUAUCCAGGAGAAGGUGGGAGUGGCUUUGGUGGAGGACAAGAUGCGGGAAGAAAGGCUGAGAUGGUUUAGGCAUGUGAUGAGGAGGGACGCGGAUGCCCCAGUUCGUAGGUGUGAGAGGCUAGUGUUGGAUGGCUUCAUGAGGAGUAGAGGUAGGUCGAAGAAAUACUGGAGAGAGGUGAUUAGAUAUGACAUGGAGCAGUUACAGCUUUCUGAGGACAUGACCCUAGAUAGGAAGGUGUGGAGGUCGCGGAUAAGGGUAGUAGGCUAGUGUGAGUGUGGGGUUGUAGCAGGCAGUCAGGAGAGAUCUUGUGUAGCCGGGUUAAGGUGUUCAUAGGGAUCUUUGGUUUGUGAGGGCAUGGUACUACUAGGUGGGUGUCCUAUUCCCUAUUUCUGAGUUCCUUUUUUCUUAUUUCGUGUUGCCCUUAUUUCUCGUAUUUCGUGUUUCUCUGAUUUCUAUUUUAUUAUUCCUUACUCCUUAUUUCUGUUGUGUCAUCCAUCCCCUUGUUUAUUAUUCUUUAUCUUGAGCCAGGGGUCUAUCGAAAACCUCUCUCUUCUUCGGAGGUAGCAGUAUGGACUGCGUACAUCUUACCCUUCCCAGACCCCACUUUGUGAGAAUACACUGGGUUUGUUGUUGUUGUUGUUGUUUGUUGGUGUUGAAUAGGCUGGGGAAAGCUGCUUAUAAUGUGCCUUGUCCAUCCCAGUUAUCCUUUCAAAAAAGGAUUUUGCUACAGUACCCACUUGAAAAAAAUUUCCCUAGGCUGGUCCAAAAAGAUCUUAUGGUUCUCCAUAACCCAACUCUAUAAGCGUCAGUGGCUUCAUCAAUACACCACUGAAUUUUGACCAUAUUUCUGUUGUAUUACAUUCUUCCAUAAGGCGGGUCUGUCCUCAACAUAUCUCCAUAGCCAUUUCUUGAGUAGGUUAUUAUUUUGAAGUUUCAGAUUUCUAACCCCCAUACCUCCAUGAUUUUUGCACUGUUGAACAAUGUUCCAUUUCACCAGGUUGAAACCUUUGUGCGCCUUGUUGCCAUGCCAUAAGAAGAUUCUUCUCAACUUGUCUAAAGCUUUGAGAACUUUAGCUUGGAAAAAGCGACAUUACAUAAGUUGGUAAAAAAUCCAGCACAGAGUUGAUUAGGAUAAGCCAGCCCCCUAGAGAUGGUACUGUGCCUUCCACAUAGCAAGCUUCUUUUCCGUUUACUCUAUGAUGUUGUCCCAAAUCUCUAAUGCCUUGUGUUUUGCCCCCAGUGGAAGUCCCAGUUAAAUCGCAAGAAGUUUUCCUAUGUCGCAGCUCAAAAUAUUGGCUAGAGUCUGAAUUUGUGUAACCUCAUUUAUAGGAAAGAUGUUUUUCGUCCAGUUUAUCUUUAGGCCUGAGACUGCUUCAAAUAUGACUAACAUUAGUCUCGAGUAGAGCCGUCAAAAUAGGCUUGUUUGACCCAACCCAACCCGCUAUUGUGAUUUUUUAGCCUAUUUAAAUAUGGGGCUUGUAAGCCCAGCCCAAGUCAUCGAGAAUUAUUUGCAGAUGAAGAGAUGUCAAAGGGGCUUCUUACUUCCCAAGCAGAUCCUCCUACAUCUAUAUAUAAACGCCGCUGGCCCUUGAGGCUAGACUAGGUUGGCUCGUGGGUCAAAAUACCAUUUAAUUUAAAUUAAAAAUAUAUGAAUAUUGUAAAAGAAAAAGUAAUAAUUAAGAAUAGUAGUUAUUGAAUAAGUUUAAUAUCCUAUACAAUAUUUAACUUAUUGAGUGUUAAACCUUAAUCAUCAAGUAUUGAUGUUUCAUUUGUUAUUGUUAUUCAAUUUAAACUUAAAAUUAAAAAAAAUUAUAAGCAAAAAAAAUUAAAAAUAUAAAUAGUGAUUACUCAAUAAAUUUUACCUAGUAUCUUACAUAAUAUUUUACUCAUUAGCAUUAAAUGAAAAAUAUUAAAAUUUCUAAUAGUAAAUAUAAAAAUUGCAUCCAUUAUGAAAUGUUCAAAUACUUGUUGCAGCCUAGAAAUCAAUUGCACAACAUUACCCAAAUUCAAAGUGAUAAUAUUUUUAAGUGAAUUUUAAAUAUUAUUAAUUUUUGAUAUAUAACUUUUAGAUAUUGUUCAACUUGUUAAAUUUGCAUAUGAAUUUAGAUGAAUGUUGAUGUUAAUUAAGAUAAUGUAAUCAAUGAAUUCAAAUUAGUUUGACAAUGUAUUGGUGUUGAAAAGAUUAUAAAUCAUCGUAGAAUUAUGUACUUUAUAUAAUAAUGUGUUAGAAGUGCGAAUGAAUUGCCAUAUCUAUUAGUUCAAAUUGAAAAAGAAAAUCUAACAAAAAUUUGAUAAAAAUAAAGGGCUAGCCCGGCCCAACCCGUGACCCUAUUAGGGUUGGGUUGGGCCAUACAUUUUAAGGUCAUUUAAAGUGAAGGGCCGGCCCGUCCUAGCCCAUCAAAUUCUUUGGCCCGUGAGGCUUGGGCUGGGCUAGCCCAUUUUGACAACUAUAGUCUCAAGAAACUGAUUUGCUCACUAGUAGCAUCACAAAAAACUGUGUCAUCUGCAUAGAGUAAAUGACAUAUCUCCACUGUCUUGCUGCCUACUUUAAAACCUUUUAGCCAUUUUUUUUUUGUAUUGCAAUCUUUAUCAUGCUAUUCAGCCCUUCCAUGGCUAUGAUGAAUAGAAAAGGGGUAGGAGAUCCCCUUAUCUUAGCCCUUUUUCUGCUGGGAAAAAAACAAUUGGUUCUCCAUUCACCAAAAUUGAGAACCGGGUGGUUUUAAUGCAAAAAUUAAUCCAAUUUAACCAUCUUCUUCAAAGCCCAUUUGCCCCGGAAUAUUGAGUAAGAAUUUCCAAUUGAUAUGAUCAAAUGUCUUCUCAAUGUCUAGUUUGCAUAUCACCCCUGAUUUUGUGUCUCUCAGUCUAGUGUCAACACACUCACUUGUUAUCAAAGUUGCAUCCAUGAUUUGCCUUCCUUUAAUAAAGGCCAUUUGGUGUGUGUUGAUCAGCUUGUCUACACCUUCUUCAACCUUUCAGCUAGUACUUUGGCAAUGAUCUUGUACAUUCCAGUGAUGAGACUUAUUGGUCUGAAAUCUCUCAAUUCAAUAGCACCCACCUUCUUUAGGAUUAGAGCUACAAAAGUUGCAUUGAAGCGUUUUUCAAAGACCUGUCGUGAGUGAAAGUUUUGUAGAGUGAGUAGUAUGUCUGAUUUCAAUAGUUCCCAGAAAGUAAUGAAAAAUGACAUUGGAAAUCCGUCAGGGCUUGGAGCUUUGUCUGAUGCACACUGUUUAAGCCCCUCUAGUACUUCAUCUUCUUCAAAUUGUCUUUCCAACCAUACUUGUUCUUUUGUAGAUAUCAUGGUAUUCCUUUAGAGAGUGAAAUCAGGUCUCCAGUUCUCGGAUUCUUUGUAUAGUUUCUAAUAAAAGCUCACAAUGGAGUUUUUUAUGCUUUCAGGAUCAGUGACUUCGACCCCCUCCACCUUGAGCAUGUCAGUGGAGUUGAAUCUUCUAUGGGCCUUGGCUAUCUUGGGGAAGUAGUUGGUGUUUUAUCACCAUUUUUGAUCCAUUGUACCCUGAAUCUUUGUCUCCAAGCAAUCUCCUCAUUUCUGGACACCUCUUCAAAUUCCAUAGCCAGAUGAAUUUUUUACAGCUAUUCAUCAUCUGUCAAAAGCCGAAGAUCCUGGAUGGAUUCCAGAUUUCUCAAUUGGGAGAGGAUCUGAUCCUACCUUUCCUUCCAGUUGUUCCUGUUGGCUUUGCUCCAUUCUUUAAGUUUGACUUUCAACUGACUAAGCUUAGAAACCAGUUGAAAAUCAGGUCUGCCGAUGGCAUUGAAACUGCUCCACCAGUCUUUCACCUUGUCUAUGAAUCCCUCCUCCUUAAGCCACCAAUUUUCAAAUUUAAAAUAAGAUUUCAUGUGUUUCCAGUCACCACAAGAUAAUAAAAUGGGGCUAUGGUCGGAGCCAAGAUGAGGAAGGACACUUUGAUUGAUUUUGGAAAAACUUUCAGCCCAUUGAGGUGAGAAUAGAAAUCUAUCUAUUCUUGAAGCACAACUAUAAUUUUGACCUCUCCUCCAUGUGUUAUUUCCUCCGGAAAGAGAAGGAUCCAAAAGUUCCAAAUCAUUUAUGCAAAGGUUAAAAUCAUGGCUCUACUUAUUCUGUUGAGCCAUGGCUACCUAUAUUUCAAGAUGGUAAUGUCUAUCUUGGUAAAGUUUGACGACAAUUGGCCAAGUUAAGAUCGAAGCCAUAGACUACCUAUAUUUUAAGAUGAUAACACCUAACCUGGUAUCUAAUACACCUUUAUUUAGUUUCAUACGAAAAUAGUUACUACUUACAACUAAGAAUCCUCUAUUUCAAACUAUUCCAAAAUAUUUAAAGGAGCUUAAAUAAUAGUUUGAAAUAGAGAAUUCUUAGUUGUAAGUAGUAACUAUUUUCGCAUGAAACUAAAUAAAGGUGUAUUAGAUACCAGGUUAGGUGUUAUCAUCUUAAAAUAUAGGUAGUCUAUGGCUUUGAUCGUAUCCUGGCCAAUUGUCGUCAAACUUUACCAAGAUAGACAUUACCAUCUUGAAAUAUAGGUAGUUUAUGGCUCCGAUCUUAUCCUAACCUUGAAACAAGCGAACAUUUCAAAUGUUGGCUAAGAAAUUUGAAAUAUCAAUUUCGACAAUAUUUGAAUAUGCAUAAAAAAAUAAUCAAUUUAACGGUUAAUUUUUUUAAAACACAAAUAUUUAUUGAAUAUUAAAUAGUGAUAUACAUAUAUGAUUAUAGUAGUUGAAGAGCUUAUAGGAGCACAAUUUUAUUUUCUUUAAUUUUGGAAGAAACCACAUUUUGGGGAUAUUAAGCUCCUUUAAAAUAUAUUAAAAAUAAAUUUCCACUUAAAUUUAUUUUUGUUACUGCCUAAUACUCAUCAACCUGUCACUCGACUUCCAUUGAAAUUUUUCUAAAUUACUUUUGAGAUGAAUCAAUAUGAAAUAAUUGCACAAAACAAUGAUCAAAACUAUGUAUUUACACAUAGUGGGGAGAGAAAAAGAGAAAUUUUAUUCAUUUAAAGAAAAGUAUUCAAGAAGAAGAGAAAUUAGUUGCAUAUUCUCUUACUAAUUAUUUAUUAAAUGAAAAUAUAUAUUAUACUCAGAUAAGAUUUUCUUCCUUCAUAGUAACCAAGUUAAAAUCUAAUCAUCUUGGGAUCCAAGAUGAGGCUCCUCUUCGUUACUCAUUCUCUUCAUUUUCCCAAAUUCCUUGUCAUAAUUAAGAAGUAAAGGUUGAGAUUUAAUAAUUCAAAACAAGGUUCUAACUAUGAUUAGAAAAACAAAAAUUUCCUUUAUUUACUCAAACAAUUUAUCAAUCCCAUAAUUCUAGUUAAAAAUUAUGUCAUACAUAAAACUAUUUAAAACUUGUACCUCCUGGCUAAAGCUUGACCGAUGGAAAGAGAAUAACUCGACCCAAACCAAAAGAAUAUAGCCAUACAUAUGAGUUAAAACCCAAUGUCAAUAUGUUAUGUUGAUGCACAAGCGUUUAUGUUAUGUUGAUGCACAAGCGUGGGAGUGAUACAGAAUUGGAAGAACGAGUUUUUGGAAAUUUUGUGUGGAAGAAUGGAUCGUACAUAUCACCCACGAGUCGUAUAAGUGAUCUACGACCACUUUACUGAACUUACAGACCGUACUUAUGGUCCAUACAGUGACCAAUGCAGGAACUACUAUUGGGAUCUUAAAGAUUCUAAGAAUGGAGAGCAUGUAUGGCCAUAAGACGAAUCUAUGGACAGUACACGGUGUCGUGGUUGCAACCUCCGCAAAGUUGAGCUAUUUUUUUAGGCAUGGGUACAAUGUACAAGCAACCUAUGGACCAUAAGUGGCAUCUAAGACCGCACAUAGAACAAUGAAUGAGUUACCAAAUUUAUCGGAGUUCACAUAUGGGCCUUAAGUGGGAUUCACGAUGCAUACAUGAGCCAUACUUGACCAAGCCAAUUUUCGAAGCUAGUGAUAAGGACCUGAUGCCUAUGUAUGUCCAACCAAUGGACCAUUACUGAUAUUUACAAACCACACAUGGCAUCCAGGCUGGCAGUAAGUGGCCCAAAGCAGUUAUAAUGAAUGCACAUUUUCUGGAUUUUUCAUUCAUUCUUCAAUUUUCCAAGCCAUAGAACUACAAUUUUCUCUCUUAUUCCUCCCACACCAAGGUAAGCUUAUACUAUGAUUUUAGGUGUUUCUAACAAUUAGAUAUGGUUUCUGACAAAGAUUCGACACUAGAUUCUUAUGAUUUUCAAGAAAAUCAUUCUCAAGGUUCAAGAACAGAUAUUUAGAGUUCCUCUUCAAAGUUAGAGUUUACUUCCAUUGUAUUGGAGCGAUUAAGGUAUGAGGCUAAUCUCUUCUUGUGGGAAGUUUUGUUCUUCCCACGAUUAAGUUUCUUCGUGCACCAGGACUUCUCCUCAAUAAAAUGGUUAGGGUUCAAAUAUGAAAUGUACGUACCGUUCAUAUAAAUUCAUUACAAACAUCAUGAAUCCCUUGCGAUAUUCUUAGAUUCUAUGGAGAAACCUAUUCUAUGAGUUUCAUUGUUGUCACCGUGAAAAUACGAUACAACAACAACAACAAACCCAGUGUAUUUCCACCUGGUGGGGUCUGGGGGGUAGGAUGUACGCAGUCCAUACCUCUACCUCUGAAGAAGUAGAAAGGCUGUUUCCGAUAGACCCCCGGCUCAAGACACGCGGUACCACACAAACACAUAGUAAAGCACAGCACAAGGUUACAAGAUUACAUAACAUAAAUACGGCACCCAUAAGUAAUCUAAAACAAAGGAAAACACACAGAUCCAUAAUAAAACAUGGGACACGGGCUCCUAACAUGCAUAAACCCCCACCAAGUAGUUCCCCCACAAAGUAGUCCCCGACACUAUCGUCUCAGGCUGGCCCUCGUCCUCUGCCCUGAUUCGCGUCCUCCAGACCUUCCUAUCUAGGGUCAUGUCCUCGGUGAGCUGUAACUGCUCCAUGUCUCGCCUAAUCACCUCACCCCAGUACUUCUUCGGCCUACCCCUACCCCGCUUAAACCCAUCCAACGCUAGCCUCUCACACCUACGGACCGGGGCAUCCAUGCCCCUCCUCUUCACGUGUCCGAACCAUCUCAAAAAUACGAUUUUAAUUAGUCCAGGGAUAAUAGGACUCUCCUAAAGUUUGGACGUGUCUCAGCCUUUUCAUGUGUAGUUCAAGGCGGAAAUAGAGCAUUUUUUCAAAAAAGAAUAAAAAAUUCUUAUCACCACAUCGACCCUUAUAUUGUUGACAAUGCAUUCUUUAUUGGUCUCGCAAAAAAUUGUGUUGCUUCAUAAUUUCGCCCUUUAACACUUAGGGGUCGUUUGGUAGAGUGUAUUGAAAAACUAAUGCAUGCAUUAGUUUAAUGUGUAUUACUAAUAAAUACCUUGUUUGGUAUACUUUUGCACCCUAUGUAUAACUAAUGUAUUAGUUAUACAGUCUAUUGUGUAUUGAAGUGUGUAUUACUAAUACCUCAAAAUCCACAGUAUUAGCAAUGCAAUGGAUCCAAUACAUGUGUUAACAUGAUUAAAGACACUAUUAUCCCUUAAAAAAAUUUUACAUUCUUUCCAAUAUAUAUAUAAAGGAUAUUUUUGUAAAUUUUUUUUUUUAGAAAUUAUUUAAUUUAUAUUAUUUUUAAUACAUCAAACCAAAUACUGCAUAAGAAAAAUACAAGCAUAACUAAUGUAAGCAUAACUAACACAAACAUUAGUAAUAUAAGUAUUAUUAAUACAUCAUAUUUUGCAUCAUUCUUAUACACUCUACCAAACGACCCCUAAGUGUAUGUAGUCCAAAUCACUAUUUUAAAGGUGGGACCAAAAAGUUGCUUUAAGGAUCUAAACUAAUUUGCAUAGGAUCUAGUUUACUAUUUUAAAGGUGGGACCGAAAAGUUGCUUCAAGGAUCUAAACUAAUUUGCAUAUUACAAGGAUCUAGUUUGUAAGGCCGCACUAUUGAUAAUUUUUUUUUUUUUCAUUUUUAAAGAUAUGAGAUCUCUAGUUAAGAAUGAAGGAAUUUUAACUUUUCAAAUACCACGUUCAUAGUAGAGUUGCAGUAGCAAAAUCAAAUAUGUACGUCCUCUAGUCCAUAUUAAGUGAAGUAUUAUGACUUUUUUCACAGCUUAAUAAGGAAAUUUUAACAUAAAUUGUCAAUUACAACUGUUGAACCCUUGAGAAAGUUUACACCAAAUUAUCCUCUUUAACUAGUCCUUGUAACUAUUCAGUUCCAAGUAGAGAAAUUAUAAUACCUUCAAUUUUUUUUGUGUAAUGUCGAAGUCAGAUGAAUUUUAUUCAGGAAUUGGUGCCUGGGAAGCCUUCUUAUGGUGUUUAAGUUUAGAUGCCAUUAUACAAAGUUGCGCAAAAUAAAUUUUAUGGCCAACUUAUCAAGGUUUUUAUGCUUUCCCUGACGACCGACACCAAUUUUGUUUAACUUCUUUUAAUGGAAGUGACACUAAAUGAUCCUAUUUAUCCAAUUUUAUUGGAGUAAAAUAGUUAGCGAGUACUCAUGCAGCUAACCCAUAGUUUUCUAACUCAAUUGUAGCAUAGCCUAAGAAAUAAGAAGAUAUGAUCACAAGCCAAUACUUGACAUGUACCCCUCUUUGAGGUCCAUCACAAGAAAUGAAGAAAAUUGAAGUGCGAACAAAUAGAACACCUUUCAAGAGUAUUAAUACCGUCACAUGAAUCGUCAAUGCAUGAAUAUGAUGUACCAAGAAAUUGACGAUGGAAUAGGCAACAAAGCCACCAUGCCAUGCACUGCCACCAAAUCACCCCCAGCUGAUGGAGUUCAGAAGUAAAUAUACGGACUAGUCGAAGGGGGGUUCAACAUCUACUUACUAUAUAUACAUAAAAAUAUUUUUGACCAUAUAAAAAUAAUAUAAUUUUCCAACGAAGGGGGUUGGAAACCCCUGAAAUGUAUGUGGCUCCGCCACUGAUCACCCACCUCCCCACCCCACCCCCAAGUUAAACUGGCACCAGGUGCUAAAGCAUGGACGUUUUGUAUCCAUUGAGCAAAUAUGAAUUUGUAAUUGGUAUAGCUAUAUAUGAAAACAAAACAUAUCUUGAGGACGCCCUUUGCUUUUGUUUUGUCGUAUUGAACUAAAUAACAUUCACUUUAAGCAGAGGGUGCAAUAAGUACUUGUUUCCAAAUACAAAAGAAGAAGAAAACAAUCCUUAAUAUGUAUAGGGGAAGAUAAUUAGACAAGCAGGUUAGGGCCCGUCAAAGUGUCGAGCCAAGCCAAAAUAUAAGCAUCCACGUAAAUACAUGUGGGAGGUAUAUAUAUAUAUUAAUAGAGACCUAAAAAUUAAGUCUGCAUCCACGUAAAUACCUCCACACAAUUAACAGCUCCUCAAUUUGUUGGAAUGUUCCACGCCUCGCAAAAAGCACGAGCACUGACGAAGAAAAUAGUAAAGUGAAUUAGAUUCUUGAAACUAGCAUGACAAUAAUAAGAGUGAAAUAUAGAUGUCAAGGCAUAAUAACCUUCUUAACUGAUACAUAAGAUAUUGACAUAUAAUUAAAUGUGCAUUUCUUAAGCACAACGAAAACAAUUGCAUCAAUCACAAGCUGCAAAACAUAAGUCGAUAUCAAACCAAAAACUUAUCAAAAAUCUCUGUCCUCCUACACACGAAUACUGAAUUCCAUAAAAGCAACAGUCAUGUCUUCCGUAUUGAAAGAUACAACUCCUAGAUUCGUCCGCCAGUAGAGAAAUUAUAACACCUUUUUCAUGUAAUGUUGAAAGGAGAUGAAUUUAAUUCAGGAAUUGGCGCGAGGAAGCCUUCGUAUGAUAGUUAAGCUUAGGUGCCAUUAUAAAAA
This 39199-nucleotide long non-coding RNA is filed under the name Capsicum annuum. RNAcentral's name for it is "long non-coding RNA (CANN_LNC001829)". Lineage: Eukaryota; Viridiplantae; Streptophyta; Magnoliopsida; Solanales; Solanaceae. The record is from RNAcentral.